CCCCGGCGCCCCAAGUGGCAAUCACUAUUAUUGGGCCUAAAGCAUUCGUAGCCGGACAAUUACAUUCUCUGUGAAAUCAAUUGACUCAAUCGGUUGGCGUGCAGAGGAGACGGAUUGUCUUGAAACCGGGAGGAGCUAGAGGUAUUCUGAGGGGAGCGGUAAAAUGUGAUAAUCCUCGGAGGACCACCAGUGGCGAAGGCGUCUAGCUAGAACGGAUUUGACGGUGAGGAAUGAAGGCUAGGGGAGCAAAAGG
This 253-nucleotide ribosomal RNA is filed under the name uncultured archaeon. RNAcentral's name for it is "partial 16S ribosomal RNA". It matches the Rfam family "Archaeal small subunit ribosomal RNA", at positions 474 to 726 of the family's 1478-position model. The record is from RNAcentral.